RNAcentral lists this ribosomal RNA (2929 nucleotides) under Escherichia coli. Its description in RNAcentral is "bacterial LSU rRNA". It matches the Rfam family "Bacterial large subunit ribosomal RNA". Lineage: Bacteria; Pseudomonadati; Pseudomonadota; Gammaproteobacteria; Enterobacterales; Enterobacteriaceae. The record is from RNAcentral.
GGGUUGUGAGGUUAAGCGACUAAGCGUACACGGUGGAUGCCCUGGCAGUCAGAGGCGAUGAAGGACGUGCUAAUCUGCGAUAAGCGUCGGUAAGGUGAUAUGAACCGUUAUAACCGGCGAUUUCCGAAUGGGGAAACCCAGUGUGUUUCGACACACUAUCAUUAACUGAAUCCAUAGGUUAAUGAGGCGAACCGGGGGAACUGAAACAUCUAAGUACCCCGAGGAAAAGAAAUCAACCGAGAUUCCCCCAGUAGCGGCGAGCGAACGGGGAGCAGCCCAGAGCCUGAAUCAGUGUGUGUGUUAGUGGAAGCGUCUGGAAAGGCGUGCGAUACAGGGUGACAGCCCCGUACACAAAAAUGCACAUGCUGUGAGCUCGAUGAGUAGGGCGGGACACGUGGUAUCCUGUCUGAAUAUGGGGGGACCAUCCUCCAAGGCUAAAUACUCCUGACUGACCGAUAGUGAACCAGUACCGUGAGGGAAAGGCGAAAAGAACCCCGGCGAGGGGAGUGAAAAAGAACCUGAAACCGUGUACGUACAAGCAGUGGGAGCACGCUUAGGCGUGUGACUGCGUACCUUUUGUAUAAUGGGUCAGCGACUUAUAUUCUGUAGCAAGGUUAACCGAAUAGGGGAGCCGAAGGGAAACCGAGUCUUAACUGGGCGUUAAGUUGCAGGGUAUAGACCCGAAACCCGGUGAUCUAGCCAUGGGCAGGUUGAAGGUUGGGUAACACUAACUGGAGGACCGAACCGACUAAUGUUGAAAAAUUAGCGGAUGACUUGUGGCUGGGGGUGAAAGGCCAAUCAAACCGGGAGAUAGCUGGUUCUCCCCGAAAGCUAUUUAGGUAGCGCCUCGUGAAUUCAUCUCCGGGGGUAGAGCACUGUUUCGGCAAGGGGGUCAUCCCGACUUACCAACCCGAUGCAAACUGCGAAUACCGGAGAAUGUUAUCACGGGAGACACACGGCGGGUGCUAACGUCCGUCGUGAAGAGGGAAACAACCCAGACCGCCAGCUAAGGUCCCAAAGUCAUGGUUAAGUGGGAAACGAUGUGGGAAGGCCCAGACAGCCAGGAUGUUGGCUUAGAAGCAGCCAUCAUUUAAAGAAAGCGUAAUAGCUCACUGGUCGAGUCGGCCUGCGCGGAAGAUGUAACGGGGCUAAACCAUGCACCGAAGCUGCGGCAGCGACACUAUGUGUUGUUGGGUAGGGGAGCGUUCUGUAAGCCUGUGAAGGUGUACUGUGAGGUAUGCUGGAGGUAUCAGAAGUGCGAAUGCUGACAUAAGUAACGAUAAAGCGGGUGAAAAGCCCGCUCGCCGGAAGACCAAGGGUUCCUGUCCAACGUUAAUCGGGGCAGGGUGAGUCGACCCCUAAGGCGAGGCCGAAAGGCGUAGUCGAUGGGAAACAGGUUAAUAUUCCUGUACUUGGUGUUACUGCGAAGGGGGGACGGAGAAGGCUAUGUUGGCCGGGCGACGGUUGUCCCGGUUUAAGCGUGUAGGCUGGUUUUCCAGGCAAAUCCGGAAAAUCAAGGCUGAGGCGUGAUGACGAGGCACUACGGUGCUGAAGCAACAAAUGCCCUGCUUCCAGGAAAAGCCUCUAAGCAUCAGGUAACAUCAAAUCGUACCCCAAACCGACACAGGUGGUCAGGUAGAGAAUACCAAGGCGCUUGAGAGAACUCGGGUGAAGGAACUAGGCAAAAUGGUGCCGUAACUUCGGGAGAAGGCACGCUGAUAUGUAGGUGAAGUCCCUCGCGGAUGGAGCUGAAAUCAGUCGAAGAUACCAGCUGGCUGCAACUGUUUAUUAAAAACACAGCACUGUGCAAACACGAAAGUGGACGUAUACGGUGUGACGCCUGCCCGGUGCCGGAAGGUUAAUUGAUGGGGUUAGCGCAAGCGAAGCUCUUGAUCGAAGCCCCGGUAAACGGCGGCCGUAACUAUAACGGUCCUAAGGUAGCGAAAUUCCUUGUCGGGUAAGUUCCGACCUGCACGAAUGGCGUAAUGAUGGCCAGGCUGUCUCCACCCGAGACUCAGUGAAAUUGAACUCGCUGUGAAGAUGCAGUGUACCCGCGGCAAGACGGAAAGACCCCGUGAACCUUUACUAUAGCUUGACACUGAACAUUGAGCCUUGAUGUGUAGGAUAGGUGGGAGGCUUUGAAGUGUGGACGCCAGUCUGCAUGGAGCCGGCCUUGAAAUACCACCCUUUAAUGUUUGAUGUUCUAACGUUGACCCGUGAUCCGGGUUGCGGACAGUGUCUGGUGGGUAGUUUGACUGGGGCGGUCUCCUCCUAAAGAGUAACGGAGGAGCACGAAGGUUGGCUAAUCCUGGUCGGACAUCAGGAGGUUAGUGCAAUGGCAUAAGCCAGCUUGACUGCGAGCGUGACGGCGCGAGCAGGUGCGAAAGCAGGUCAUAGUGAUCCGGUGGUUCUGAAUGGAAGGGCCAUCGCUCAACGGAUAAAAGGUACUCCGGGGAUAACAGGCUGAUACCGCCCAAGAGUUCAUAUCGACGGCGGUGUUUGGCACCUCGAUGUCGGCUCAUCACAUCCUGGGGCUGAAGUAGGUCCCAAGGGUAUGGCUGUUCGCCAUUUAAAGUGGUACGCGAGCUGGGUUUAGAACGUCGUGAGACAGUUCGGUCCCUAUCUGCCGUGGGCGCUGGAGAACUGAGGGGGGCUGCUCCUAGUACGAGAGGACCGGAGUGGACGCAUCACUGGUGUUCGGGUUGUCAUGCCAAUGGCACUGCCCGGUAGCUAAAUGCGGAAGAGAUAAGUGCUGAAAGCAUCUAAGCACGAAACUUGCCCCGAGAUGAGUUCUCCCUGACUCCUUGAGAGUCCUGAAGGAACGUUGAAGACGACGACGUUGAUAGGCCGGGUGUGUAAGCGCAGCGAUGCGUUGAGCUAACCGGUACUAAUGAACCGUGAGGCUUAACCUUACAACGCCGAAGCUGUU